CCGACCUUAGCUCAGUUGGUAGAGCGGAGGACUGUAGUUGUUUGUUCAGUAGAUUAAUCCUUAGGUCGCUGGUUCGAUUCUGGCAGGUCGGA
Non-coding RNA from Spinacia oleracea (spinach), 92 nucleotides. NCBI's taxonomy places the organism in Eukaryota, Viridiplantae, Streptophyta, Magnoliopsida, Caryophyllales, Amaranthaceae. The record is from Rfam.